RNAcentral lists this transfer RNA (72 nucleotides) under Ipomoea nil (Japanese morning glory). It matches the Rfam family "tRNA". From Rfam's summary of the family: Transfer RNA (tRNA) molecules are approximately 80 nucleotides in length. Their secondary structure includes four short double-helical elements and three loops (D, anti-codon, and T loops). Further hydrogen bonds mediate the characteristic L-shaped molecular structure. tRNAs have two regions of fundamental functional importance: the anti-codon, which is responsible for specific mRNA codon recognition, and the 3' end, to which the tRNAs corresponding amino acid is attached (by aminoacyl-tRNA synthetases). tRNAs cope with the degeneracy of the genetic code in two manners: having more than one tRNA (with a specific anti-codon) for a particular amino acid; and 'wobble' base-pairing, i.e. permitting non-standard base-pairing at the 3rd anti-codon position. The record is from Rfam by way of RNAcentral. Lineage: Eukaryota; Viridiplantae; Streptophyta; Magnoliopsida; Solanales; Convolvulaceae.
GUCGUUGUAGUAUAGUGGUGAGUAUUCCUACUUGUCAUGCGGGUGACAUGGGUUUGAUCCCUAGCAACAGCA